Molecule: ribosomal RNA, 501 nt
Filed under: uncultured bacterium
Lineage: Bacteria
Description: bacterial SSU rRNA
Rfam family: Bacterial small subunit ribosomal RNA
Source: RNAcentral
CUCAGGAUGAACGCUAGCUACAGGCUAACACAUGCAAGUCGAGGGGCAGCAUUGGAGUAGCAAUACUCAGAUGGCGACCGGCGCACGGGUGAGUAACACGUAUCCAACCUGCCGCUUACUCGGGGAUAGCCUUUCGAAAGAAAGAUUAAUACCCGAUGGUAUAAAGAGUUCGCAUGUUCUCUUUAUUAAAGAAUUUCGGUAAGCGAUGGGGAUGCGUUCCAUUAGAUAGUUGGCGGGGUAACGGCCCACCAAGUCUACGAUGGAUAGGGGUUCUGAGAGGAAGGUCCCCCACAUUGGAACUGAGACACGGUCCAAACUCCUACGGGAGGCAGCAGUGAGGAAUAUUGGUCAAUGGACGAGAGUCUGAACCAGCCAAGUAGCGUGAAGGAUGACUGCCCUAUGGGUUGUAAACUUCUUUUAUAAGGGAAUAAAGUGAGGGACGUGUCCCUUUUUGUAUGUACCUUAUGAAUAAGGAUCGGCUAACUCCGUGCCAGCCGCUGC